UAUAGAGUAUCUUUAAAUUAUAGAGUAAUAUUUUUUCUAUAUUACAAUAAUAUUACUCUUCAUUUUUUAAAGGAUUCUUUGGUAGAUAGAGAAAUCACAAAAAAGGGUACGUUGCUGUCAUUUUGAAAGGAUUAAGAAGCAUCGAAGUAAUGUCUAAACCCAAUGAUUUAAAACAAAGAUAAAGGAUCCCAAAACAAGGAAACACCAUUGUCAUGAUAGUCUCAAUAACUAGAUUAGAUUGAAGAAUCAAAAUAGAAGUUUAAACGAGACAAACAAAAGGGGGUAAAGACCACUCAAUAAAUGAAAUUUAUUAAAGAUUUUUUCCUUUAAGCUAUUUGAGAGAUAUCCAAUUUGAGUUAUGAAUACGAAUGGUUUUUUUUUUUUUUUUUCAUUGUCAGGUAGGAAGAAGGAAAAAAGGACUUAAAUCAUAGUCUAAUUGAUUUUAUAGGCUUAUUUGUCAUUUAUUAGAAUUUCAUACAUAGACAAAAUUUCGAAUCAAAUCAUUUUUUCUCGAGCAGUACGAGGACAAAACUUUCUAUACAUUUCUACAUCUAUCUCAAUGAGCCAUCUUUCAAAUCGUUGCAAUUGAUGUUCAAUCCCGAAGAGAAGGAAAAGAUCUUCGAAAAGUGGGUUUUUAUGAUCCAUUGAAGUAUCAAACUUAUUUAAAUAUUCCUACUAUUCUAUAUUUCCUUGAAAAGAGUGCUCAACCUAUAGGAACUAUUCAAGAUAUUUAAAGAUUGCAGAAGUUUUUAAGCAACUUCGACCUAAUAAAAAAAAUUUAAUUAAAGAAAUACCAAGGGGGUAGUGAUUUGUAUAUAACUUUUCUCUACUAUUUUUUUUAUUCCCCCCUAAUCCUGCUUUAUUUGUAUCUAUUUCUUAUUGCUUCUGUCGAAUUCCAUGUCUGAUAACAACAAAACCUUUUUUUGUUGAUCAUAUCAAUCUCAAAUUCGGACAUUUCAUUUCUUUCAAUUAUAUGGUUUUCGUUGGAAUUUGACUAACCAACAAGGAAUCCAGUUUGUUUAUUCCACUUAGAUUGACGAAAUACAUUGAAAAUUCGAUAUAUUUUUUUCCAAUUCUUAUUCUCCCAUCUACACUUUUUUGUAUCUAUGUAGAUUAGAUAUCUAGAGUAAAUCCUGGACAAUUUGAAAUAUUAUUUCAUUGUUAAAUUGAAUUUUUUGAGUUUAAAUAAAAAAAUAUAUAUAUUUCAAUGAAUUUUCUUUUGUUUUUUUUCCAUUGUAUUCCUUUCUCAACACUUACAUUGACAACAGUGUAUCGAACAAAUAUAAUUCAAUGAAAUGGAUCUAUUUAUUUCCUUACCAUAGAUGAUUUUUUUUACUUUACCUCAUUCCUUUCUUUGAUAUUGAUACAAGAGGUUUUUAAAUUUUAAAAAAAAAAAAUCAGAUAACAUAAGAGGUAGUCUAUCAAUUUUGACAAUUCUCCCUCUCUCUCUCUCUAUAUAUAUAUAUAUUUUUUUUUAUCAAAUAAUCUCUUGUAUUUUGAUUUGAUAUAUUCAUUUUUAUGUUUCUAAUGCAUUAGAAUUUUUUUCUAAAGACUUCUUAGCUCAAUUGUUUGAUUACCUCAUCUAAUUUCUUUUCUCAUUAUUUAAUUGAUAAUUGAUUUAGAUUGUAUCUUCACACCCUUUAGUUUGAAUAUUUAAAUUAUGUUUAAAUUUUUUAUAUUUUCUUCGGGUUGCUAACUCAACGGCAGAGUACUCGGCUUUUAAGUGCGACUAGAUUCUUUUUACACAUUUGGAUGAAGUAAGGAAUUCGUCCAUACCAUCGGUAAAGUUUGGAACACCACGACUGAUCGUGGAAGGGAAUGAAUGGAAAAAAUAGCAUGUCGUAUCAACGAAGAGUUCUGAGUUUGUUUCAUUUUUAUCAAAUCAACAAAACCCUAUUCGAAUUCUUGGAACGGAACAAAAAGAAGUUGGAUCGAAUGAGUAAAUGGAUAGGUCCUUAUUGCUUCAAUUAAUUAUACGAAAGUAAAAGCAACCAACUUUUAUUCUUAAAUUUGAAUAAUUUCCCGAUCUAAUUUGACAUUAAAAAUAGAUGAGUGCUUGAUACGGCAAGGACUUCUCCCCCCAUGAGUGGAUUCUAUUUUUUUUUUUUUUUUAAUGAAUCCUAACUAUUGGCAUUCUCCAUUAUGGAAUGGAGAUGCGUAUGUAAAAAAAGUAGUAUAUUGAUAAAGAAUUUUUUUUUUUCGAAAUCAAAAGAGCAAUUAGGUUCAAAAAAUAAAAUAUUUCUAACCAUCUUGUUAUCCUAUAACAUAGACCAAUUAAAUGAAAUGAAAAAAAGAGAGUGGGUUGCCCGGGAUUCGAACCUGGAACUAGUCCGAUGGAGUAGUUAAUUUCCUUGUUAU
This 2358-nucleotide long non-coding RNA is filed under the name Olea europaea subsp. europaea. The record is from RNAcentral. Lineage: Eukaryota; Viridiplantae; Streptophyta; Magnoliopsida; Lamiales; Oleaceae.